Peromyscus maniculatus bairdii (prairie deer mouse) is the source of this 756-nucleotide long non-coding RNA. RefSeq lists it as uncharacterized. Lineage: Eukaryota; Metazoa; Chordata; Mammalia; Rodentia; Cricetidae. The record is from RefSeq and is a predicted model, not a curated record.
AGCAACUCCCACAAGGCCUCCCUCUGUUUUUCUUGCAGGAAGUACUCAAGACCAAUCAUUGAAGGGUGUCCUGUUUUCUGGUAAGAAUGACAAAUGGAAGCACUACACUCAAGAUCACUUUUGUUUUUUUCAGAGGAAGACUCUCCCCAUGAAAGGAUGGGAAGGACCAGCCAGGAUGACGGCAGAGUACAGGUUGUCUGCAUAUGUUCCACUACAGUCCGGUUUCAUACAGGAUGAGAGCAAACACAGAGUACUUGCAAUGACAUCAGGUACUGUUUGCAUUCCAGCACCCACACAAGAGUAACAUCUCCCCAAUUAACACGGCGGUGUUUCUGCGUGUUGCUUAACUUCGGUGAACUUGGUGUCAAGCCAACCGGAGGCAUCUAUCAAAUAACAGCCAGGGGCACUGGUUUUUUUCAACUGUUUUCAAAUUCUCUGCAGCAAUAAUUCAAAUGGAAUUUUUAAUAAACAAUCUUGUGAUAGAUGAAGGGAAUGGAAAGAGGGGGGAGGAAGGGAAGGGAGAAGGGUGACUAUUGUCAGAGGAGCCCAAAGAGAACCUGAGACUCACCACACCUAUAGCUGUCACAUGUGCUGGGAUUUGGCUUUUUAAGGGAUAUGGAAAUAUGGUUUUGGCUCAAACUACAAGUUCAAUAUUUAAAAAUCAACUUUAUGUUGAUUCUUCUACAGCUCCAAGCACAUCAGGUUUGGGUGACCUAAGCUUGUAGGGUCUUAUGGGAUCACCUUCUGAAAAGAACA